This 406-nucleotide ribosomal RNA is filed under the name uncultured Acetobacterium sp. RNAcentral describes it as "bacterial SSU rRNA". It matches the Rfam family "Bacterial small subunit ribosomal RNA", at positions 356 to 774 of the family's 1533-position model. The record is from RNAcentral. Lineage: Bacteria; Bacillati; Bacillota; Clostridia; Eubacteriales; Eubacteriaceae.
GGGGAAUAUUGCGCAAUGGGGGAAACCCUGACGCAGCAAUACCGCGUGAGUGAAGAAGGUUUUCGGAUCGUAAAGCUUUGCCGGUGAAUAGCCGGUUGGAGUGACGGUACCUUCAGAAGAAGCCCCGGCUAACUACGUGCCAGCAGCCGCGGUAAUACGUAGGGGACAAGCGUUGUCCGGAUUUACUGGGCGUAAAGGGCACGCAGGCGGUUUUUUAAGUCAGAUGUGAAAGGUACCGGCUCAACCGGUGACAUGCAUUUGAAACUGAAAGACUUGAGUAUUGGAGAGGCAAGUGGAAUUCCUAGUGUAGCGGUGAAAUGCGUAGAUAUUAGGAGGAACACCGGUGGCGAAGGCGGCUUGCUGGACAAAUACUGACGCUGAGGUGCGAAAGCGUGGGGAGCAAACA